UACGUAGGGUGCAAGCGUUGUCCGGAAUUAUUGGGCGUAAAGAGCUCGUAGGCGGUCUGUCGCGUCGGCUGUGAAAUCCCGAGGCUCAACCUCGGGUCUGCAGUCGAUACGGGCAAACUGGAGUACUGCAGGGGAGACUGGAAUUCCUGGUGUAGCGGUGAAAUGCGCAGAUAUCAGGAGGAACACCGGUGGCGAAGGCGGCGAUCUGGGUCGAUACUGACGCUGAGGUGCGAAAGCGUGGGGAGCAAACAGG
This 253-nucleotide ribosomal RNA is filed under the name uncultured bacterium. RNAcentral describes it as "partial 16S ribosomal RNA". It matches the Rfam family "Bacterial small subunit ribosomal RNA", at positions 524 to 776 of the family's 1533-position model. The record is from RNAcentral.